UUUCAACCUUUUCUAUUCUAUUCAUCAUUUCCUUAUGCAUUUCCAAGGCAGAUACUUUCCCCCCCUAUUCUAAUCUGUGCUGUGAUUUCUCUCUCGACGAAUAUAUUAUUUUCAAUGAUGUUCUAUCGUUGUUACCGUUUUGCUGCUUAGAUCUACUUACAUGCAGAGGAUUGGGGCUUUUGACACAAAUUGAUCAUGUGUUUAUUUGCUAAUUCUCUUCUGGAUAACCAUUGUAUAAGCUGUUCGUAUGGAAUUUUUG
RNAcentral lists this unclassified non-coding RNA (259 nucleotides) under Hevea brasiliensis (rubber tree). Lineage: Eukaryota; Viridiplantae; Streptophyta; Magnoliopsida; Malpighiales; Euphorbiaceae. The record is from RNAcentral.